RNAcentral lists this ribosomal RNA (261 nucleotides) under uncultured prokaryote. RNAcentral describes it as "partial 16S ribosomal RNA". It matches the Rfam family "Bacterial small subunit ribosomal RNA", at positions 524 to 784 of the family's 1533-position model. The record is from RNAcentral.
UACGGAGGAUCCGAGCGUUAUCCGGAUUUAUUGGGUUUAAAGGGUGCGCAGGCGGGAGAUUAAGUCGGCGGUGAAAUUUUGCAGCUCAACUGUAAAAGUGCCUUCGAGACUGGUUUCCUUGAGUGUGGAUGAGGUAGGCGGAAUUUGUGGUGUAGCGGUGAAAUGCAUAGAUAUCACGAGGAACUCCGAUUGCGCAGGCAGCUUACUAAGCCAUAACUGACGCUCAAGCACGAAGGCGUGGGGAUCAAACAGGAUUAGAUA